Molecule: ribosomal RNA, 2088 nt
Filed under: Mesodinium rubrum
Lineage: Eukaryota; Ciliophora; Litostomatea; Cyclotrichida; Mesodiniidae
Description: partial Eukaryotic large subunit ribosomal RNA
Rfam family: Eukaryotic large subunit ribosomal RNA
Source: RNAcentral
UUCUGAGAUCAGUCGAGAUUACCCGCUGAACUUAAGCAUAUCACUAAGCGGAGGAAAAGAAACUAACCAGGAUUCCCUUAGUAAUGGCGAAUGAACAGGGAAGAGCUCAAGCUUGAAUCUUCGGAAUUGUAGUCUAUAGGUGGGAACUCGUACAGACCCGGGUAUAAAUCCGUUCUUGGAACUGGGUGCCAGAGAGGGUUAGAGCCCCGUCUUUGACUCGGUGUAUGUGCGUGGCGAGUUUUUGCUAGAGAGUCGGCUUGCUUGGGAAUGCAGGUCAAAAUGGGUGGUAAACUUCAUCUAAAGCUAAAUAUUGGCGAGAGACCGAUAGCGAACAAGUACUGUGAAGGAAAGAUGGAAAGAACUUUGAAAAGAGAGUGAAAUAGUGCUUGAAACCGUUGGGAGGAAAGCGAAUGGAGUUGCUAUACGACCAGGGUGUCUCAAUCUGGCACGCAAGUUGGUUCCGGUGUAGUGACCCUGUGUCUACGUUCGUGGAGUGGUACCUGUCCUGGCGCGUGACUAUUCUAUCAGCAAUGAUAAAAUGAGUGCUGACCAGACGACGGUGGUCUCAAAGAAUUUAUACCGAAAAAAAAGAUGAAAAAUCCCAAAAUUCUACAUUUUGAUCAAAAUAUCUUUACUUUGUAAAUACCGCAAGGCAGUUGCAAAAAAAGAUGGAAUUGGACAAAAUAAUGAUAUGACGUGAUUAAUUAUCAAAUAUUUUUUUCGGAUGAUAAUACGGACGGAAGGGCUUCAUUCGACCCGUCUUGUAACACGGACCAAGGAGUCCAGCCUCCACGCAAGUGCUUGGGUGGAAAACCCCAGCGCGCAGUGAAAGUAACAGCGUGAUAAUCUUAAUAAUCAAAAAAGAUUAUUCUGCUACGGCGGGAAUAUGUAUACGCACCGCCAUCCGACCAGCCCUCCUUUUUAGUGGCUGGCUUGUGACUGAGCGUGGAUGCUGGGACCCGAAAGAUGGUGAACUAUGCCUGAAUAGGGUGAAGCCAGAGGAAACUCUGGUGGAAGCUCGUAGCGGUACUGACGUGCAAAUCGUUCGUCAAAUUUGGGUAUAGGGGCGAAAGACUAAUCGAACCAUCUAGUAGCUGGUUCCCUCCGAAGUUUCCCUUAGGAUAGCUGGAGCUCAUACAAGUUUUAUCAGGUAAAGCGAAUGAUUAGAGGCCUCGGGGGUGUAACAUCCUCGACCUAUUCUCAAACUUUAAAUAGGUAAGAGGUCCUUGCCACUUAAUUGGGCAUGGGCAUUGAAUUGGAGCUCCAAGUGGGCCAUUUUUGGUAAGCAGAACUGGCGAUGCGGGAUGAACCGAAAGUUGAGUUAAGGUGUUUAAUUGUCGGCUCAUGUAGACCCCACAAAGGGUGUUGGUUCAUAUAAACAGCAGGACGGUGGCCAUGGAAGUCGGAAUCCGCUAAGGAGUGUGUAACAACUCACCUGCCGAAUGGACUAGCCCCGAAAAUGGAUAACGCUCAAGCCGACAACCUAUACUCGACCGUUGGCGUAAAUGCGAUGCGCCAACGAGUAGGAGGGCGUGGAGGUUGUGGAUCAGCUUUGGACGUGAGUCUGAGUGAAACGGCCUCUAGUGCAGAUCUUGGUGGUAGUAGCAAAUAUUCAAAUGAGAACUUUGAAGACCGAAGUGGAGAAAGGUUCCAUGUGAACAGCAAUUGGACAUGGGUUAGUCGGUCCUAAGAGAUAGGGGAACUCCGUUUAAAGCGGGCUUUGCCCGCGCCUAUCGAAAGGGAACCGGGUUAAUAUUCCCGGACAAGAGUGUGGAUAAUGCAUGGCAACAUCAGUGAACUUCACGACGACGGUGGGAGCCCUGGGAAGAGUUGUCUUUUCUUUUUAACACGCUAUCACCGUGGAAUCGGGUUAACCGGAGAUACGGUUGAAUGCGUGGCAAAGCACCUUACGUCUUGAGGUGUCCGGUGCGCUCCUGACGUCCCUUGAAAAGUGAAGGGAAGCGUUCAUUCUCACACCUUGCCGUACUCAUAACCGCAUCAGGUCUCCAAGGUGAGUAGCCUCUGGUCGAUAGAAUAAUGUAGGUAAGGGAAGUCGGCAAAAUAGAUCCGUAACUUCGGGAAAAGGAU